Molecule: unclassified non-coding RNA, 402 nt
Filed under: soil metagenome
Description: partial contains 5.8S ribosomal RNA, internal transcribed spacer 2, and large subunit ribosomal RNA
Rfam family: 5.8S ribosomal RNA (bases 1-121)
Source: RNAcentral
GAUGAAGAACGUAGCGAAAUGCGAUAAGUAAUGUGAAUUGCAGAAUUCAGUGAAUCAUCGAAUCUUUGAACGCACCUUGCGCCCUUUGGCUAUUCCGAAGGGCAUGCCUGUUUGAGUAUCAUGAACACCUCAACUCUCAUGGCUUGCCAUGAUGAGCUUGGACUAUGGGGGUCUUGCUGGCCUGUGGUCGGCUCCUCUCAAAUGAAUCAGCUUGCCAGUGUUUGGUGGCAUCACAGGUGUGAUAACUAUCUACGCUUGUGGUUUUCCACCAGGUAACCUUCAGCAAUGGAGGUUCGCUGGGGCUCAUAAAUGUCUCUCCUCAGCGAGGACAGCUCUUUGAACGUUUGAUCUCAAAUCAGGUAGGACUACCCGCUGAACUUAAGCAUAUCAAUAAGCGGAGGA